UCACAUGGGCCUGCGCUGCUCACUUACC
Molecule: non-coding RNA, 28 nt
Filed under: Mus musculus (house mouse)
Lineage: Eukaryota; Metazoa; Chordata; Mammalia; Rodentia; Muridae
Source: RNAcentral